RNAcentral lists this ribosomal RNA (528 nucleotides) under Faxonius virilis. Its description in RNAcentral is "partial 16S ribosomal RNA". Lineage: Eukaryota; Metazoa; Arthropoda; Malacostraca; Decapoda; Cambaridae. The record is from RNAcentral.
CUUACACCGGUCUGAACUCAAAUCAUGUAAAAUUUUAAAGGUCGAACAGACCUUCUCUUAUAGUCUCUACUCUAUAAAGAACCUUUAAUUCAACAUCGAGGUCGCAAACUUUCUUGUCGAUAAGAACUCUCAAAGAAAAUUACGCUGUUAUCCCUAAAGUAACUUAAUCUUUAAUCCCUUUUAGGAUCAAUAAUUCAAAUAUUAUUGUAAAAAUAAAAGACAGUUAUCCUUUCUUAUAUCCUUGUCGCCCCAACAAAAUAAUUUAAAAUAGUAAUUUUAAAAUAAAAUUAUUUUCCACCUUAAAAUAUAAAGUUUUAUAGGGUCUUAUCGUCCCCUUAGAUCAUUUAAGCCUUUUCACUUAAAAGUUAAAUUCAAUAUAUUAAUUUAAGACAGAUUAUUUCUUGUCCAACCAUUCAUUCUAGCCUUCAAUUAAAAAACUAAUGAUUAUGCUACCUUUGCACGGUCAUAAUACCGCGGCCUUUCAGUUUUCCAAUGGGCAGGUCAGACUUUAUAAAUCUCUCAUAUAGA